RNAcentral lists this transfer RNA (83 nucleotides) under Pseudoxanthomonas spadix BD-a59. It matches the Rfam family "tRNA". From Rfam's summary of the family: Transfer RNA (tRNA) molecules are approximately 80 nucleotides in length. Their secondary structure includes four short double-helical elements and three loops (D, anti-codon, and T loops). Lineage: Bacteria; Pseudomonadati; Pseudomonadota; Gammaproteobacteria; Lysobacterales; Lysobacteraceae. The record is from Rfam by way of RNAcentral.
GCCGAAGUGGCGGAACGGUAGACGCAGCGGACUCAAAAUCCGCCGCCCUUAAAAGCGUGUGGGUUCGAGUCCCACCUUCGGCA